AUGCGUGUGUGUGUGUGUGUGGAGUUUCACCAUGACCGUGUAGUGUGUGUUCUUGAGAGAGACAAAGAGAGAUGGAGAUUGAGUUGUGAGAGGCAGCUCAGGAGGAACAAGAAGCGGUGCUGCAAGGAGAGAUGGCGCCAACACAUGCUUGUUCACAAUCUCAGCACUAUAGUUCGCUGCAUUUUCUCUCAAAGCACCUAUGUUGUCGUUUGCAGCUCCGAUGUCAGAGAUUCCAGCUCCUGGCGUACACAAUUAAUGACUUCGUCAACAUACACCCAGAGUUCAUGUUGCUACCUCUCUCCUGAUACCUAUCACUCCCAUCCAAUGGCUAGGCCAUUGAGACAGCGAACCAAAAAUUAA
Molecule: ribosomal RNA, 360 nt
Filed under: Triticum aestivum (bread wheat)
Lineage: Eukaryota; Viridiplantae; Streptophyta; Magnoliopsida; Poales; Poaceae
Description: partial small subunit ribosomal RNA
Source: RNAcentral